UAAAAGAUUUUACUUUUAAAAAAUUGCGUGU
RNAcentral lists this non-coding RNA (31 nucleotides) under Rattus norvegicus (Norway rat). The record is from RNAcentral. Lineage: Eukaryota; Metazoa; Chordata; Mammalia; Rodentia; Muridae.